Molecule: ribosomal RNA, 107 nt
Organism: Lepisosteus oculatus (spotted gar)
Lineage: Eukaryota; Metazoa; Chordata; Actinopteri; Semionotiformes; Lepisosteidae
Source: Rfam
GCCAGCAGCCAUAUCACAAUUGGUAACCCACUGAAGCUCAGCAGGUGUGAGCCUGGUCAGUACCUGGAUGGGAGACCUCUUGGGAAAAACUAAGGUUCCUGCUGGAA